UGCCGAAGUGGUGGAAUGGCAGACACGUCAGACUCAAAAUCUGAUGCCUUCACGGGCGUGUGGGUUCAAGUCCCACCUUCGGUAUC
Molecule: transfer RNA, 86 nt
Filed under: Pullulanibacillus camelliae
Lineage: Bacteria; Bacillati; Bacillota; Bacilli; Caryophanales; Sporolactobacillaceae
Description: tRNA-Leu
Rfam family: tRNA
About the family: Transfer RNA (tRNA) molecules are approximately 80 nucleotides in length. Their secondary structure includes four short double-helical elements and three loops (D, anti-codon, and T loops). Further hydrogen bonds mediate the characteristic L-shaped molecular structure. tRNAs have two regions of fundamental functional importance: the anti-codon, which is responsible for specific mRNA codon recognition, and the 3' end, to which the tRNAs corresponding amino acid is attached (by aminoacyl-tRNA synthetases). tRNAs cope with the degeneracy of the genetic code in two manners: having more than one tRNA (with a specific anti-codon) for a particular amino acid; and 'wobble' base-pairing, i.e. permitting non-standard base-pairing at the 3rd anti-codon position.
Source: RNAcentral